Nicotiana attenuata is the source of this 84-nucleotide transfer RNA. It matches the Rfam family "tRNA". Rfam says of the family: Transfer RNA (tRNA) molecules are approximately 80 nucleotides in length. Their secondary structure includes four short double-helical elements and three loops (D, anti-codon, and T loops). The record is from Rfam. NCBI's taxonomy places the organism in Eukaryota, Viridiplantae, Streptophyta, Magnoliopsida, Solanales, Solanaceae.
GGGUCGAUGCCCGAGCGGUUAAUGGGGACGGACUGUAAAUUCGUUGGCAAUAUAUCUAUGCUGGUUCAAAUCCAGCUCGGCCAA